GACGAACGCUGGCGGCGUGCUUAACACAUGCAAGUCGAACGGAAAGGCCCCUUUGGGGGUACUCGAGUGGCGAACGGGUGAGUAACACGUGAGUAACCUGCCCUUGACUUCGGGAUAACUUCAGGAAACUGGGGCUAAUACCGGAUAGGAAUCCUUGCUGCAUGGUGGGGGUUGGAAAGCUUCGGCGGUUUUGGAUGGACUCGCGGCUUAUCAGCUUGUUGGUGGGGUAGUGGCUUACCAAGGCUUUGACGGGUAGCCGGCCUGAGAGGGCGACCGGCCACAUUGGGACUGGGAUACGGCCCAGACUCCUACGGGAGGCAGCAGUGGGGAAUAUUGCACAAUGGGCGGAAGCCUGAUGCAGCAACGCCGCGGGCGGGAUGACGGCCUUCGGGUUGGAAACCGCUUUCAGCAGGGGCGAAGCUUGUGGUGACGGUACCUGCAGAAGAAGCACCGGCUAACUACGUG
RNAcentral lists this ribosomal RNA (465 nucleotides) under uncultured bacterium. RNAcentral's name for it is "partial 16S ribosomal RNA". It matches the Rfam family "Bacterial small subunit ribosomal RNA", at positions 28 to 507 of the family's 1533-position model. The record is from RNAcentral.